This 253-nucleotide ribosomal RNA is filed under the name uncultured bacterium. RNAcentral's name for it is "partial 16S ribosomal RNA". It matches the Rfam family "Bacterial small subunit ribosomal RNA", at positions 524 to 776 of the family's 1533-position model. The record is from RNAcentral.
UACGUAGGGACCGAGCGUUGUCCGGAAUCAUUGGGCGUAAAGAGCGUGUAGGCGGCCACUUAAGUCCUGCGUGAAAUCUUGCGGCUCAACCGCAAGCGGUCGUGGGAAACUGGGUGGCUAGAGUGCGGGAGAGGAGAGUGGAAUUCCUGGUGUAGCGGUGGAAUGCGCAGAUAUCAGGAAGAACACCCGUGGCGAAGGCGGCUCUCUGGGUCGGCCCUGACGCUGAGGCGCGAAAGCGUGGGGAGCGAACGGG